Molecule: ribosomal RNA, 25 nt
Filed under: Pichia norvegensis
Lineage: Eukaryota; Fungi; Ascomycota; Pichiomycetes; Pichiales; Pichiaceae
Description: partial 18S ribosomal RNA
Source: RNAcentral
GUAGUGACCUGCGGCAGGAUCAUUA